Molecule: long non-coding RNA, 1251 nt
Filed under: Sinocyclocheilus anshuiensis
Lineage: Eukaryota; Metazoa; Chordata; Actinopteri; Cypriniformes; Cyprinidae
Description: lncRNA (ENSSANG00000036216.1)
Source: RNAcentral
GAUUUAUAAUUAUAUAGUAAUAUAAUAUAAAUUAUAAUUAUAACAUCAUUUAUAGUAUAAUUAUAUAAUAUAAUUUAUAUUUUGUAAUCUUGAGGUGAAAACCUCGAUAUAUUUUUGCAAGAUUCACCCCUUAAGGUCAGUGGUUAAUUGUCCUCGUUUUAGUUUCAAUUAUGACUGGCUUUCAUACAAACACACAAUCCUUCUUAUCACACAUACUAUGCAAAGUCAUAUCAGAUUUGAAUUGAAAUGAUUAAUUACAUUUGUAAGUUCUCUUUGCCCUAUAAAUACAUAUUUCUCACUCACUGAUUCAAAUGAAUGUGUUUUGCUCAAACGUUUAUGCCAUUAAGGAGGAAGAAAAAAGUUGUUAGUCAUCAGUUCUCCCAUUCUUUCAACCACACUCCUUGAAAAGACUCCACAGACAAACUAAUAACCUAGUGACCGUUGUUCCAGCACAUGCCAUCAUUAUGAACAAUCAAUUCAGCAGCGCCGGGAAUCAUGACCAGAAUCCAGUGUUGAUCCCCAAGCUGGCGAAACUUAAACCUGUGGACAUGAAUAAAGGCGCAGGCUCCAGGCCACUCAUGGUCAAACCCAACUUCAUGGUUAACUCUAUGGAGGCUAGAUUCAAUCCUCCAGUUUCUAACAACAAGACCAAUGGUGACUCGAGAAGUGAUGCUGUAGGAGUGAAGCUGCCCAAUAGAGGAAAACAGGAGAACGCUUUUACACAAGCCCCCACUGGAGCCGGAUUCCAGAUUCCUGCCAAACUGCCUAUUAUGCAGAAACCUGUUCUCCAUGAAAAGAUCUCUGCAGCACCGGGAACCGCUACUGGUGAUUUGUCAGUGCCAAAAAAUAAGUCUCUUCCCAGUGUGUUUGCUUUAGGAAAAUGUCCUGCCAAACCACAGAGACCUCCACAUGUUAACCUCAGCAAGUUCAGAGGGAAUGUAUCCAACACCAGCAACCCUGAGGAAAAUUUCUCCCUCCGACCCCCACCGCCUCCAGAACGCCUGUCAAUCACAUCUGUGACUCCACCCCCACCACCACCCUUCACAUUUCCACCUGCUCCCCCUCCAGUGGAUGAGGAGGGUUAUUACGAUGAUACAGACGUCAUGAGCCGGAUGGAGACUUCACUAGGUAAAAGCAGCAAUGACCCUGAGGAGUCAGACGAGGACAUGUACGAGGAUCUUGAUCACAAUUGGUGAGAGUGUUCAUUUAAUGUACGAGUAUUAAUUAAUUUACUAUUGCUCAUAAUAUUUA